Molecule: unclassified non-coding RNA, 168 nt
Filed under: uncultured Ascomycota
Lineage: Eukaryota; Fungi; Ascomycota
Description: sequence contains ITS1
Source: RNAcentral
CAGAGUUGCAAAACUCCCAAAACCAUCGCGAACCCUACCUUUUACCCGUUGCUUCGGCGGGCGGCGCCUCGUGCGCCCCCCAGGCCCCCCUCGCGGGGGCGCCCGCCGGAGGUACCUAACUCUUGUUGAUCAUACGGCCUCUCUGAGUAUUCUGUACUGAAUAAGUCA